Molecule: ribosomal RNA, 482 nt
Filed under: uncultured bacterium
Lineage: Bacteria
Description: partial 16S ribosomal RNA
Rfam family: Bacterial small subunit ribosomal RNA
Source: RNAcentral
UGAACGCUGGCGGCAUGCUUUCCACAUGCACGUCGACCGGCAGCGCGGGCUUCGGCCUGGCGGCGAGUGGCGCACGGGCGAGUAAUACAUCGGAACGUGCCCAGUAGUGGGGGAUAGCUCGGCGAAAGCCGGAUUAAUACCGCAUACGACCUGAGGGUGAAAGCGGGGGAUCUUCGGACCUCGCGCUAUUGGAGCGGCCGAUGGCAGAUUAGCUAGUUGGUGGGGUAAAGGCCUACCAAGGCGACGAUCUGUAGCUGGUCUGAGAGGACGACCAGCCACACUGGGACUGAGACACGGCCCAGACUCCUACGGGAGGCAGCAGUGGGGAAUUUUGGACAAUGGGCGAAAGCCUGAUCCAGCAAUGCCGCGUGUGUGAUGAAGGCCUUCGGGUUGUAAAGCACUUUUGGCGGGAACGAAAAGGACUGUGCCAAUACCACGGUUCGAUGACGGUACCCGCAGAAUAAGCACCGGCUAACUACGUG